Molecule: ribosomal RNA, 699 nt
Filed under: Gordonia sp. YIM 69634
Lineage: Bacteria; Bacillati; Actinomycetota; Actinomycetes; Mycobacteriales; Gordoniaceae
Description: bacterial SSU rRNA
Rfam family: Bacterial small subunit ribosomal RNA
Source: RNAcentral
UGCAGUCGAACGGAAGGCCCAGCUUGCUGGGUACUCGAGUGGCGAACGGGUGAGUAACACGUGGGUGAUCUGCCCCUGACUUUGGGAUAAGCCUGGGAAACUGGGUCUAAUACCGGAUAUUCAUUUUUCCUCGCAUGGGGAUUUGUGGAAAGCUUUUGCGGUUGGGGAUGGGCCCGCGGCCUAUCAGCUUGUUGGUGGGGUAAUGGCCUACCAAGGCGACGACGGGUAGCCGACCUGAGAGGGUGAUCGGCCACACUGGGACUGAGACACGGCCCAGACUCCUACGGGAGGCAGCAGUGGGGAAUAUUGCACAAUGGGCGCAAGCCUGAUGCAGCGACGCCGCGUGAGGGAUGACGGCCUUCGGGUUGUAAACCUCUUUCAGCUCCGACGAAGCGCAAGUGACGGUAGGAGCAGAAGAAGCACCGGCCAACUACGUGCCAGCAGCCGCGGUAAUACGUAGGGUGCAAGCGUUGUCCGGAAUUACUGGGCGUAAAGAGCUCGUAGGCGGUUUGUCGCGUCGUCUGUGAAAUUCUGCAGCUUAACUGCAGGCGUGCAGGCGAUACGGGCAGACUUGAGUACUACAGGGGAGACUGGAAUUCCUGGUGUAGCGGUGAAAUGCGCAGAUAUCAGGAGGAACACCGGUGGCGAAGGCGGGUCUCUGGGUAGUAACUGACGCUGAGGAGCGAAAGCGUGGGUAGC